GCAUCGGUAGCCAAGCGGCAAGGCGUCGGUCUGCAAAACCGAAAAGCGUGGGUUCGAUUCCCACCCGAUGCUCCA
RNAcentral lists this transfer RNA (75 nucleotides) under Spirulina sp. SIO3F2. RNAcentral describes it as "tRNA-Cys". It matches the Rfam family "tRNA". Rfam says of the family: Transfer RNA (tRNA) molecules are approximately 80 nucleotides in length. Their secondary structure includes four short double-helical elements and three loops (D, anti-codon, and T loops). Further hydrogen bonds mediate the characteristic L-shaped molecular structure. tRNAs have two regions of fundamental functional importance: the anti-codon, which is responsible for specific mRNA codon recognition, and the 3' end, to which the tRNAs corresponding amino acid is attached (by aminoacyl-tRNA synthetases). tRNAs cope with the degeneracy of the genetic code in two manners: having more than one tRNA (with a specific anti-codon) for a particular amino acid; and 'wobble' base-pairing, i.e. permitting non-standard base-pairing at the 3rd anti-codon position. Lineage: Bacteria; Bacillati; Cyanobacteriota; Cyanophyceae; Spirulinales; Spirulinaceae. The record is from RNAcentral.